Molecule: ribosomal RNA, 557 nt
Filed under: Entamoeba bovis
Lineage: Eukaryota; Evosea; Mastigamoebida; Endamoebidae
Description: SSU rRNA
Rfam family: Eukaryotic small subunit ribosomal RNA
Source: RNAcentral
CCCUUAUUGAUAAGCCAUGCAUGUGUAAGUUUAAGACCUAGUAGGAUGAAACUGCGGACGGCUCAUUAUAACAGUAAUAGUUUCUUUGGUUAGUAUUUACAGGGAUAACUUUGUGAAUGAUAAAGCUAAUACUUGAGACGAUCUGGGAAGUAUUUUACUUUUCCGCCCCCGGCCGCGAGGGUGGGGUGGAACGACAUUCUCUUCUGAAAAAGGAAGCCCCGACCAUUGAGGAAAGCGACGCUUUUUACCAGUAACCCAUGGGAAUUUCUGAUCUAUCCAUUUGUUGGUAGUAUCGAGGACUACCCAGAUUAUAACGGAUAACGAGGAAUUGGGGUUCGACAUCGGAGAGGGAGCUUUACAGAUGGCUACCACUUCUAAGGAAGGCAGCAGGCGCGUAAAUUACCCCCUUUCGACUCGAAGAGGUAGUGACGACCAAUAACUCUUGGCGCCUUUCGGGGCGACUUGAAGGAAUGAUUUAGAAGUAAAUUUCUCUAAAGAAAUCAAUUGGAGGGCAAGUCUGGUGCCAGCAGCCGCGGUAAUUCCAGCUCCCAUAGUGA